This 73-nucleotide transfer RNA is filed under the name Aspergillus puulaauensis. It matches the Rfam family "tRNA". From Rfam's summary of the family: Transfer RNA (tRNA) molecules are approximately 80 nucleotides in length. Their secondary structure includes four short double-helical elements and three loops (D, anti-codon, and T loops). Lineage: Eukaryota; Fungi; Ascomycota; Eurotiomycetes; Eurotiales; Aspergillaceae. The record is from Rfam by way of RNAcentral.
GGGGCUGUGGCGCAAUUGGUAGCGCGUGAGACUCCAGUUCUCAAGGUUGCCCGAUCGAGACGGACCAGCCUCA